Molecule: long non-coding RNA, 610 nt
Filed under: Vulpes vulpes (red fox)
Lineage: Eukaryota; Metazoa; Chordata; Mammalia; Carnivora; Canidae
Description: lncRNA (ENSVVUG00000016777.1)
Source: RNAcentral
AAAAAAUAAACAUAAUAUGAUCAUAAUAUAUGCCCAGCUUCUUACAGUAUCUUUUGUCUUCUCACCCAUUACCUUUCGGGAUUUUCGAAGACAGGAAUUUGGCUCUUUCAAAGGAGUUCCUUUGAAGCUCCUCCAAGCAACUAAUAAAAUGUCCUACAGGCAACAAGCCUGGAUUGAUACUGAACUGUGUGAACCAAAAUCUUUAAAACUAAGACCACUCACGAGGAUAAAAGCAUGUACGUGGAGAGCAUCACCGUAACACGUGGCAGAGAACUGAGUUAAAGAACCCCAUGAGAUGGGAUAUAUAUGAGUAUGAUUGAAAUGGCUGAGCUGUGGCCCAAAGAUGCCAGGUAUUGGCAGUUUAGGGCCAUUUUCAAGACUGUUUUGAAAAUUUAUUAAUCAGUCACCUUCCCUCCAGUCUCUCUGUCCUCCGGUAGUUCCUCCAUACUGUCGCUAACAUUUAGAGGUAAAUCCUGGAUGGUUUAACUUGCUAUCAGUUGCAUAAAAAAUUCCAGAAGUUUAAUGCCUUUUUAAAUCUCUUUCCAAACCACUUUCCAAAUUCUUUCAGGAUCUGUUUCCCCGUACAUAGACUACACCUACCUAGUCUUUA